This 593-nucleotide ribosomal RNA is filed under the name uncultured bacterium. RNAcentral's name for it is "bacterial SSU rRNA". It matches the Rfam family "Bacterial small subunit ribosomal RNA", at positions 338 to 948 of the family's 1533-position model. The record is from RNAcentral.
CCUACGGGAGGCAGCAGUGGGGAAUCUUGCGCAAUGGGCGAAAGCCUGACGCAGCCAUGCCGCGUGAAUAAUGAAGGUCUUAGGAUUGUAAAAUUCUUUCACCGAGGACGAUAAUGACGGUACUCGGAGAAGAAGCCCCGGCUAACUUCGUGCCAGCAGCCGCGGUAAUACGAAGGGGGCUAGCGUUGCUCGGAAUUACUGGGCGUAAAGGGAGCGUAGGCGGAUAGUUUAGUCAGAGGUGAAAGCCCAGGGCUCAACCUUGGAAUUGCCUUUGAUACUGGCUAUCUUGAGUACGGAAGAGGUAUGUGGAACUCCGAGUGUAGAGGUGAAAUUCGUAGAUAUUCGGAAGAACACCAGUGGCGAAGGCGACAUACUGGUCCGUUACUGACGCUGAGGCUCGAAAGCGUGGGGAGCAAACAGGAUUAGAUACCCUGGUAGUCCACGCUGUAAACGAUGAGUGCUAGUUGUCGGCAUGCAUGCAUGUCGGUGACGCAGCUAACGCAUUAAGCACUCCGCCUGGGGAGUACGGUCGCAAGAUUAAAACUCAAAGGAAUUGACGGCUGAGACGNGCGAGACGACGACGAGGGAGGAGG